AGAGUUUGAUCCUGGCUCAGGACGAACGCUGGCGGCGUGCUCAACACAUGCAAGUCGAACGGUGACCUGCGGAGCUUGCUCCGCGGCGAUCAGUGGCGAACGGGUGAGUAACACGUGAGUAACCUGCCCCAGACUCUGGAAUAACCCCGGGAAACCGGAGCUAAUACCGGAUACGAGACAGAGAGGCAUCUCUACUGUCUGGAAAGUUUUUCGGUCUGGGAUGGACUCGCGGCCUAUCAGCUUGUUGGUGAGGUAACGGCUCACCAAGGCGACGACGGGUAGCCGGCCUGAGAGGGCGACCGGCCACACUGGGACUGAGACACGGCCCAGACUCCUACGGGAGGCAGCAGUGGGGAAUAUUGCACAAUGGGCGAAAGCCUGAUGCAGCGACGCCGCGUGAGGGAUGACGGCCUUCGGGUUGUAAACCUCUUUCAGCAGGGAAGAAGCGCAAGUGACGGUACCUGCAGAAGAAGCACCGGCUAACUACGUGCCAGCAGCCGCGGUAAUAC
RNAcentral lists this ribosomal RNA (509 nucleotides) under uncultured bacterium. Its description in RNAcentral is "bacterial SSU rRNA". It matches the Rfam family "Bacterial small subunit ribosomal RNA", at positions 8 to 526 of the family's 1533-position model. The record is from RNAcentral.